CUAUCCGCCCGGGUACUACGAGCACUAGCUUAAAACCCAAAGGACUUGGCGGUGCUUUAGAUCCACCUAGAGGAGCCUGUUCUAGAACCGAUAACCCCCGUUAAACCUCACCCUCUCUUGUUCUUCCCGCCUAUAUACCGCCGUCGUCAGCUUACCCUAUGAAGGAGCCACAGUAAGCAGAACUAGUACAACUCAAAACGCCAGGUCGAGGUGUAGCAUAUGAGAGGGGAAGAAAUGGGCUACAUUCCCUACCACAGGGAAUACGAACAAUGUAAUGAAAUAUACAUUAGAAGGAGGAUUUAGCAGUAAGCAGAAAAUAGAGCGUUCCGCUGAAACCGGCCCUGAAGCGCGCACACACCGCCCGUCACUCUCCCCAAACCAACUAACAUCCUAUAAAUAAUACAUAUUAUCGGUAAAGGGGAGGCAAGUCG
RNAcentral lists this ribosomal RNA (431 nucleotides) under Oreochromis niloticus (Nile tilapia). RNAcentral's name for it is "partial 12S ribosomal RNA". It matches the Rfam family "Bacterial small subunit ribosomal RNA", at positions 865 to 1488 of the family's 1533-position model. The record is from RNAcentral. Lineage: Eukaryota; Metazoa; Chordata; Actinopteri; Cichliformes; Cichlidae.